UGAUAUGUUAAUGGAUGACUCAGCU
Molecule: non-coding RNA, 25 nt
Filed under: Rattus norvegicus (Norway rat)
Lineage: Eukaryota; Metazoa; Chordata; Mammalia; Rodentia; Muridae
Source: RNAcentral